RNAcentral lists this ribosomal RNA (1875 nucleotides) under Thaumalea bezzii. Its description in RNAcentral is "SSU rRNA". It matches the Rfam family "Eukaryotic small subunit ribosomal RNA". Lineage: Eukaryota; Metazoa; Arthropoda; Insecta; Diptera; Thaumaleidae. The record is from RNAcentral.
ACUCUUGUCUCAAAGGUUAAGCCAUGCAUGUCUAAGUACAAAUUUUAAUACAGUGAAACCGCAAAAGGCUCAGUAUAACAGCUAUAAUUCCUUUGAUCAUACUAUCAGUUACAUGGAUAACUGUGGAAAAUCUAGAGCUAAUACAUGCAAUUACUAGAACCGUAAGGGACUAGUGCGCUUAUUAGGCAAACCAUUUAGGUCUUUAUUGACUUAAUAUUAUGGUGGAACUCUAAAUAAGUUUGCUGAUCGAAUGGUCUUGUACCGUCGACAGGUCAUUCAAAUAUCUGCCCUAUCAACUAUUGAUGGUAGUAUAGAGGACUACCAUGGUUGCCACGGGUAACGGGGAAUCAGGGUUCGAUUCCGGAGAGGGAGCCUGAGAAAUGGCUACCACAUCUAAGGAAGGCAGCAGGCGCGUAAAUUACCCAAUGCCAGUACGGCGAGGUAGUGACGAAAAAUAACAAUACAGAACUCAAUUACGAUGUUCUGUAAUUGGAAUGAAUUAAAUUUAAAUCCUUUAAUGAGGAUCAAGUGGAGGGCAAGUCUGGUGCCAGCAGCCGCGGUAAUUCCAGCUCCACUAGAGUAUAUUAAAGUUGUUGCGGUUAAAACGUUCGAAGUUGAAAUUUGUCUAACACUUUAGGUACCCCCGCAAGGGUGAUUUUGUACGUCUUUAGAUGUUAUGACUAGAUUUGGCACAAUGUACAUGUUAAAGUGUAUAUUAUUUAAUUGUUUUGUGCUUCCUUUAAUUAGGUGGUGUAUCAUAGCAAGCCAAACAAAACUCUACCUUGAACAAAUUAGAGUGUUUAUCAAUCAGCUUAAUUAUAGCUAAUAUAACUGUGCAUGGAAUAAUGGAAUAAGACCUAGGUCUCUAUUUAUUUGGUUUAAUUGACCAAAGGUAAUGAUUAAUAGAAGUAGUUGGGGGCGUAAGUAUAACGGUGCGAGAGGUGAAAUUCGUAGACCAUCGUUAGACUAACUGAAGCGAAAGCAUUCGUCAUGGAUAUUUUCAUUAAUCAAGAACGAAAGUUAGAGGAUCGAAGGCGAUUAGAUACCGCCCUAGUUCUAACUGUAAACUAUGUCAGCUAGCAAUUGGAUGUCGCUACUAUUAGGUGCUUUCAAUCGCUUUCGGGAAACCAAAGCUAGGUUCCGGGGGAAGUAUGGUUGCAAAGUUGAAACUUAAAGGAAUUGACGGAAGGGCACCACCAGGAGUGGAGCCUGCGGCUUAAUUUGACUCAACACGGGAAACCUUACCAGGUCCAAACUCAAUAGAGUAAGACAGAUUAAUAGCUCUUUCUCAAAAUUAAGGGUAGUGGUGCAUGGCCGUUCUUAGUUCGUGGAAUGAUUUGUCUGGUUAAUUCCGUUAACGAACGUGACUCAAACUUAUUAAAUAGAUACCUAUCAGAUCAAAGUAGUCUGUUGAGAUCUGUUGUGCAGCGGCGAAGGCUGUUGUGCAAUGAAUUUAGGAUUACCUGAUAGUUUGUCAUCUAUAGUAUUAUAGUUGAUUUUAUCUUCUUAAUGGGACAAUUUGUGUUUAGCAAAGUGAGAUUGAGCAAUAACAGGUCCGUGAUGCCCUUAGAUGUCCUGGGUUGCACGCGCGCUACAAUAAUCACUUCAGCGUGUUACUUGGUCCGAAAGGAUUGGGAAAUCACUCAAAUGUGCUUUUAGUUGGGAUUGUGGAUUGCAAUAUUCACAUGAACUUGGAAUUCCCAGUAAAUGCUAGUCAUCAACUAGCGUUGACUAAGUCCCUGCCCUUUGUACACACCGCCCGUCGCUAUUACCGAUUGGUUGUUUAGCGAGGCUCUCGGAGGUGAUUGAAGAAAGCAUUUAAUCGUGCCAUUAUUCGAUUGCUGAAGUUUUCCAAACUUAACGAUGAGAGAUAUA